UACAGAGGUCCCAAGCGUUGUUCGGAUUCACUGGGCGUAAAGGGUGCGUAGGUGGUCGGGUAAGUCUGAUGUGAAAUCCCGCAGCUCAACUGCGGAAUGGCAUUGGAUACUAUUUGGCUAGAGGGUUGGAGGGGGGACUGGAAUUCUCGGUGUAGCAGUGAAAUGCGUAGAUAUCGAGAGGAACACCAGUGGCGAAGGCGAGUCCCUGGACAACUACUGACGCUGAGGCACGAAAGCUAGGGGAGCAAACAGG
Molecule: ribosomal RNA, 253 nt
Filed under: uncultured bacterium
Lineage: Bacteria
Description: partial 16S ribosomal RNA
Rfam family: Bacterial small subunit ribosomal RNA
Source: RNAcentral